Molecule: non-coding RNA, 86 nt
Organism: Pteropus alecto (black flying fox)
Lineage: Eukaryota; Metazoa; Chordata; Mammalia; Chiroptera; Pteropodidae
Source: Rfam
UCUCAGUGAUGCGGUUCCAAUAGAUCCUUCUGACCCUGCACUGUGGACUCUAUAGCAGGGGGAUGAAGAGGGACGUGACUGAGAGA